CGGCGUGCUUAACACAUGCAAGUCGAACGCUGAAGCCUGGCUUUUGUUGGGUGGAUGAGUGGCGAACGGGUGAGUAACACGUGAGUAACCUGCCCCCUUCUUUGGGAUAACGCCCGGAAACGGGUGCUAAUACUGGAUAUUCACUGGCCUUCGCAUGGGGGUUGGUGGAAAGGGUUUUCUGGUGGGGGAUGGGCUCGCGGCCUAUCAGCUUGUUGGUGGGGUGAUGGCCUACCAAGGCUUUGACGGGUAGCCGGCCUGAGAGGGUGACCGGUCACAUUGGGACUGAGAUACGGCCCAGACUCCUACGGGAGGCAGCAGUGGGGAAUAUUGCACAAUGGGCGCAAGCCUGAUGCAGCGACGCCGCGUGAGGGAUGGAGGCCUUCGGGUUGUGAACCUCUUUCGCUCAUGGUCAAGCCGCAACUGUGGGUUGUGGUGAGGGUAGUGGGUAAAGAAGCGCCGGCUAACUACGUGCCAGCAGCC
RNAcentral lists this ribosomal RNA (480 nucleotides) under Schaalia odontolytica. RNAcentral describes it as "bacterial SSU rRNA". It matches the Rfam family "Bacterial small subunit ribosomal RNA", at positions 40 to 516 of the family's 1533-position model. The record is from RNAcentral. Lineage: Bacteria; Bacillati; Actinomycetota; Actinomycetes; Actinomycetales; Actinomycetaceae.